AAACUUUCAACAACGGAUCUCUUGGUUCCGGCAUCGAUGAAGAACGCAGCGAAAUGCGAUAAGUAAUGUGAAUUGCAGAAUUCCGUGAAUCAUCGAAUCUUUGAACGCACAUUGCGCCCUC
This 121-nucleotide ribosomal RNA is filed under the name Coccidioides posadasii. Its description in RNAcentral is "partial 5.8S ribosomal RNA". It matches the Rfam family "5.8S ribosomal RNA", at positions 1 to 120 of the family's 154-position model. Rfam says of the family: 5.8S ribosomal RNA (5.8S rRNA) is a component of the large subunit of the eukaryotic ribosome. It is transcribed by RNA polymerase I as part of the 45S precursor that also contains 18S and 28S rRNA. Lineage: Eukaryota; Fungi; Ascomycota; Eurotiomycetes; Onygenales; Onygenaceae. The record is from RNAcentral.